AGAGUUUGAUCCUGGCUCAGAACGAACGUUGGCGGCGUGGAUUAGGCAUGCAAGUCGAACGAAUCCCAGGGGGGUAACUCCCUGGGGGAAGUGGCGAAAGGGGCAGUAAGGCGUGGGUAACCUACCCCGGGGACCGGGAUAGCCAUCCUAACGGAUGGGUAAUACCGGGCGAUGUGACGAGAAGGCAUCUUUUUGUCACGAAAUGAAUCUCGCCUCGGGAGGGGCUCACGUAGUAUUAGCUUGUUGGUGGGGUAACGGCCCACCAAGGCCAAGAUGCUUAGCGGGUGUGAGAGCACGACCCGCGCCACUGGCACUGGGACACUGGCCAGACUCCUACGGGAGGCUGCAGUCGAGGAUCUUCGGCAAUGGGCGCAAGCCUGACCGAGCGACGCCGCGUGUGCGAUGAAGGCCUUCGGGUUGUAAAGCACUGUCGAGGGGGAGGAACGCCCCGCAAGGGGCCUGACCUAUCCCUGGAGGAAGCACGGGCUAAGUUCGUGCCAGCAGCCGCGGUAAUAC
RNAcentral lists this ribosomal RNA (516 nucleotides) under uncultured bacterium. Its description in RNAcentral is "bacterial SSU rRNA". It matches the Rfam family "Bacterial small subunit ribosomal RNA", at positions 8 to 526 of the family's 1533-position model. The record is from RNAcentral.